This is a long non-coding RNA of Sciurus carolinensis (gray squirrel), 2861 nucleotides long. RefSeq lists it as uncharacterized. The record is from RefSeq and is a predicted model, not a curated record. The transcript has 5 exons. Lineage: Eukaryota; Metazoa; Chordata; Mammalia; Rodentia; Sciuridae.
AGGAGCUGGGCGAUCUUCAGGUCUGCCCAGGGAUUCUGCCUCAAAUGGGUAACUACCAGUUGGAUUAAACGUGGGCUUUCUUUUAUUAAAAAUGUGGUAAGUUUCUGAGGGGGUGGGGCACUGCUGGCCACUCACCUUCUAGACCCACACCUGACUUCUAGUUUCCAGGAGGGAAGAGCACUCUCAGACAAGAAAGCAGCAGCUUGGAGGUCAGAUCAUUCAUCACAUGAAGUUUGACCCUGGUCUAGGAGUUGUUGGCUAGAACCUUGGUCCCAGCCAACCUCGUCUGGGUCCUCUUCUCAAAGGGUCGAGAUGGCUCCGACUGCCCUGUGACACUGUAUGGUCCUAGAGGGCAGGGGUCCUGCACAGCCAUCUUGUACCUCAGAGUCGAGGCACACCACUGGGGGAUGAGGAAUGUCAGGCCCACUAUGUUAGUCGCCAUUCCUAGGUCAUUCUGGAACUCGAUCUGCACCCCAACUGCUGCUGUUCUGGGAUGUCACUGUGACUCCCAUGGGACAGUUCUGGUGGAUGCAGUGUGGCAGAGAGGCUUUCCGCUUUCAGCAUCUGGAAGAGAUGACCUAUAGGAGAAGCCCAGUUCUAUACCCCACGUGAGACACGAGUGCAACCACCUGCUGGGUGAGCUACGUGAAGGGAGUCCACGGGAACUGCCUGAACAGGUCAUCAGCUGAACUUCUGAGGUAGCUUCCUCAGUGGGAUGGCCUCCUAAACGGUUCUGCCUCAGACUCUUGGCAAUCUGCUCUUUCCUUGAGAUAAUGCCUUCUGAUAAAUUUCUAGUUUUAUAAUCCUAAUAAGCAAACAAAACAAACUCCCACAAAACAACUAAUACCAAAGAGCUGAUAAGCAAGAGCUUAUUAAAAAUAAAUAAACUGGGUGCAGUGUGUCUGCCUGUAGUCUCCACUACUCAGCAAGCUGAGGCAGGAGGAUCCGAGCCGAGGAGUGCAAGUUUGGAAGAUCUGUCCCUACGUGUGAACUGCUCUCCCUGGCCGUAAGACUACAAGAAGAUCUUAAGAGUUUAGAGUCAUCUUCAAUUCUCCGGGAGCUCUGACCGCAGGAGCAGCAGCCAGAGAUGGAGAGUGCAGGGAUGGAUCGUAAGAAGAUGGAGAGGAGACAGAGGCUUGAGGGAGAGGCAGCUGUGUGUGUGAAUGGCACACUUAAAGCUCCUGCCUCCCAGUAACCUGGCCUCCAUACUACGACAUGCCCUGCCAGACACCACCAGGCUUCACCUACCACCGUCCUCUUACUCCCAAUAUGGGCAGAAAGUUUCCAAGGAGAAUCCUCAGACUCGAGUUAACUGUACACUAGUGCCUGCAGGACACCUUGGAGCCUCCAUUCCUUGGCACUUGGUCCCUCCGUCUGAUCACUCAUACUCAGGGCUCUCAGUCAUAACUAGGGGAAGGAAUUCUGACAGCCACUUGACAGACUCUGGUCCUGGGGUUGCCAUCACCUGCUGCACCUGGCCCGCCCCCGCCCCCUCCUCUUACCGUGGGCUCCAUGCCGUCCACGAUGCUCUGUAUCAGCCUCUUGAGUUCGUUGAGGGCAGUGCGUAAGCUGCCGGCUGGCACGUCCUUGGCGGACGAGGUUUCUGAAGACUCAUCCAUGGAGGAGUCCGUGGACACAGCUGAGUCGGCACUGUCGUUUCCUCGCAGGUGUGAGCACAGAUAGCGAACCUGGCAGUAGGCCUCCCAGAGCUGCAGUCGCAGCUGCAUCACAAAGAGAUACUCUUGACUAUGGACUCCAGAGGAUCCUGGCCAUCUUUGUCUAGUAUCUGAACCCAAAGGACACCAGUUCUAGGAGAAAAGGUUUUGGUUUCUAAACUCAUCUGUCCCAAGAAAUACUCAUCUUGGGCCUAGUACACCUACCCAGACUGCCAGCUCUCACCGCCCUGCUCUCCAGUCCCUCCCAUUGCCACUGCUUUGUUAUAUAAUUGGUUCUUAGUUGGAGUCAGGAAGUGACGGGGAAUGGGAGAUCACAGGAAGGAUGGAACACUGAAAAGCAGCAUGGAAUAGGGCAACAAGCAUUUCCUCAGAUAUGGGGUGAGACCAAACAGGAUGUGCCUGUGCCUCUGCCUCUGCCACUGUCCUCUGGAAGCUCCGCUCCAGGCCUCAGUGGACAAGGUGUGUGGGACCUGGAGGGCUGGGGCAGACUUCAGUCAGGGCCUGCCUCACACUGCUCUGGCCUGCCGGCCUAGGGGCCCUCACCAAGCAACAGCAGAGUGCUAGGGAGGACAAUGGCCCUGAGAGCUCGGGACCGCCUCACAUGCUGGCGACAGGGAUGUCAGCACCUGCUCUCUCUCCUGCUCCAACUCCUCGGCCUCCAUGCUCUGCUCUAUCUCUGACAGGAGGGAUGCGCUGGUGGCUGCGGAGCUCUGCAGACUCCUCUCCUCAGUGAGCUCCUCCACCUUCACCUGCAGCUGUCGGCAGGAGAGCCGCACCUCCUGCAGCUCCAGUUGGCUCUGGUGCAGCUUUCAGGGAGAGAGUAGAGGUCAGGUUCAUCCCAACCGAACUGAGCUGAACCAAGUCGGAGAGAAGUGCCUGAGCCUGCCAGCACCUCUAGAACCAACCCACAGAAAAACACGAAGGUACGAGGAAUGGAGCAGACUGCACCAGGAGCACCGUCAGCCAAAUCCAGAGCUGGGAAACGCCACAGCACAGAGCCCCAAUUCCUCAACGGAAAAAAAAGACAAGGGAGGAAACUAGAGAUUUAAGAAGAUUCAGGGGACUCAUCAACCAAAUGCAAUGCGUGGGCCUGUUUUAGGUUGUAUCUUGAUUCAAACAAAAAAUGUAAAAAAACAUGACAUUUAUAGGACAACUGAAAAUUUGAACAUUCAUUGGGUUUUUGAU